UGGAUAAAGAUGCCAACAACUGCCUAUUACCCGUCAGCAUAAGUCAGCAAUAGCAUAUUAUGAUCUCCAUUCCAUGGCUUUCAGGGAAGACUCGGCAUCUGGAGGUGACUCAACAGCUGAGGGCUGAAAUGGGGCAGAGACAUUUUUAGUCACAUGUCUGAAAGCUGAGCCUGACUCUCUGCUGGGAUCUCCAUCUCAGAACAGAGAGCCUAUCUGUGGUGUCUGGGGGAGACCCAGGCUCCCUGGCAGUAAUCAGAUUUCUCACAUGGUGGCUCAAGAUUCCAAAAGAGAUCAAACAUUAUAAUAUGGGCUGGCAACAUGGCUCAGUGGAUAAGAGCACCUGUCCUCAAACCUGACUCCUGACUUGGAUCCCAGGGAUUCACACAGUGGAAGAAGAGAACUGACACCCACAGGUUUUCCUCCAACCUCCAGAGCCAGAGUUCAGAUCCCACCACUACAUAACAGAUGAUAACCAUCCAGUUGCAGAGGAUCCAAUGCCCUCUUCUGCCUUUAUGGGCACCAGCACGAAUGUGGUAUACAGGCAUAUGUGCAGUCAAAACACCUUUACACAUAAAUUUUAAUUAAAAUUUUACAGUUUUUUAAAAGAAGUGUCUGCUCAAUUGACUAGCCAGUUUGGAUGAUCUUGGAGAGCUUGGAAUAUUUGUCUUUCUUACUUGAAUCUGGGUCAGAUGUUCAGUUGGCAAAAAUGUCCUCUCAUUCUGUGAGCUGCUGCUUAUUGUCUCUUUUGCUGUGCAGAAGGUCUUUUAAUUUUGAAACUACAUUUAUUUGUUUAUUAAUGUAUGUGGAAGAAAGGAUUGUGCAUGUGCCAUCAAUGCAAUAGGAAUCAGCAUUGAUUAUAUUCGUUGUACUGACCCUAUUAGAAAAGGUGAAUCUAAAAAAAAAAAAAAAAUGGAGUGGAGGAUUUUAUAAACUGAAAAAUUUCCCUUUUGUCUUCU
Non-coding RNA from Cricetulus griseus (Chinese hamster), 956 nucleotides. The record is from RefSeq and is a predicted model, not a curated record. Lineage: Eukaryota; Metazoa; Chordata; Mammalia; Rodentia; Cricetidae.